ACGGAAGGCAGCAGCUAAGAAUAUUCCGCAAUGGACGAAAGUCUGACGGAGCGACGUCGCGUGGAUGAUGAAGGCCGGAAGGUUGUAAAGUCCUUUUAUAACUGAGGAAUAAGUAUUAUCAGAGAAAGGUAGUAUGGUGACUGUAGGUUAUGAAUAAGCAACGGCUAAUUACGUGCCAGCAGCCGCGGUAACACGUAAGUUGCGAGCGUUGUUCGGAAUUAUUGGGCGUAAAGGGCAUGUAGGCGGUUUUGCAAGCUUGGUGUGAAAUCCCGGAGCUCAACUCCGGAAUUGCGUUGAGAACUGCAUAACUAGAGUCACUGAGGGGCGAUCAGAAUUCCAGGUGUAGGGGUGAAAUCUGUAGAUAUCUGGAAGAAUACCAAUGGCGAAGGCAGGUUACCAGCAGAUGACUGACGCUGAGGUGCGAAGGUGCGGGGAGCAAACAGGAUUAGAUACCCUGGUA
Molecule: ribosomal RNA, 460 nt
Filed under: uncultured Treponema sp.
Lineage: Bacteria; Pseudomonadati; Spirochaetota; Spirochaetia; Treponematales; Treponemataceae
Description: bacterial SSU rRNA
Rfam family: Bacterial small subunit ribosomal RNA
Source: RNAcentral